CACGGUUGACCUCGGAUCAGGUAGGAGUUACCCGCUGAACUUAAGCAUAUCAAUAAGCCGGAGGAA
Molecule: ribosomal RNA, 66 nt
Filed under: Talaromyces marneffei
Lineage: Eukaryota; Fungi; Ascomycota; Eurotiomycetes; Eurotiales; Trichocomaceae
Description: partial 28S ribosomal RNA
Source: RNAcentral